CUUGUAUCAAAAGCUAUAGUCCAUGCAUGGUUAAGUAGAAACUUGUUCUGGCAUGUGAAACUGUGAAUGGCUCUUUAAUUCAGUUAUGGUUUCUGUGAUGGUACCUUGCAAUAAGGAUAACCGUGGUAUUUUUGGAGCUAAUAAGCGCACAAAAAUCCCGAAUGGCCCUUAAAGGGGGCUUGGAAGGGGACGUAUUUAUUGGUAAAAAAGCCGAUGCGGGCUUGCCCGGGGGUGGGGUGAAUCAUUGUUACUUUUUGAAUCCCCCCGCCCUUUGGGACGGGUGAAUUUUCAUAAAAUUUUCCCCCUCACCAAUUUUGGGUGGUGGGGUGGAGGCCCCCCUUGUUAAAACGGGUGAGGAAGAAUUGGGGUUUGUUCCGGGGAGGGA
Molecule: ribosomal RNA, 385 nt
Filed under: uncultured eukaryote
Lineage: Eukaryota
Description: partial 18S ribosomal RNA
Rfam family: Eukaryotic small subunit ribosomal RNA
Source: RNAcentral